Molecule: transfer RNA, 73 nt
Organism: Sphaerobolus stellatus SS14
Lineage: Eukaryota; Fungi; Basidiomycota; Agaricomycetes; Geastrales; Sphaerobolaceae
Rfam family: tRNA
About the family: Transfer RNA (tRNA) molecules are approximately 80 nucleotides in length. Their secondary structure includes four short double-helical elements and three loops (D, anti-codon, and T loops).
Source: Rfam
GACCCUAUAGCUCAGUUGGUAGAGCAUCCUAGAUAUUAUGGGAAGGUCCUAGGUUCAAAUCCUAGUGUGGUCA